This 334-nucleotide ribosomal RNA is filed under the name uncultured Anaerolineaceae bacterium. Its description in RNAcentral is "bacterial SSU rRNA". It matches the Rfam family "Bacterial small subunit ribosomal RNA", at positions 1034 to 1382 of the family's 1533-position model. Lineage: Bacteria; Bacillati; Chloroflexota; Anaerolineae; Anaerolineales; Anaerolineaceae. The record is from RNAcentral.
ACAGGUGCUGCAUGGCUGUCGUCAGCUCGUGUCGUGAGAUGUCGGUUAAGUCCGCUAACCGAGCGCAACCCUCACUGUGUGUUAUACGUGUCACACGGGACUGCCGGUUUUAAGCCGGAGGAAGGUGGGGAUGACGUCAAGUCAGCAUGGCCUUUAUAUCCUGGGCUACACACACGCUACAAUGGUCGGUACAAUAGGUUGCCAAGCCGCGAGGCGGAGCCAAUCCAUAAAGCCGGCCUCAGUUCAGAUUGUAGGCUGCAACUCGCCUGCAUGAAGAUGGAGUUGCUAGUAACCGCAGGUCAGCAAUACUGCGGUGAGUACGUUCCCGGGUCUU